CACGUAGGCACCAAGCGUUGUCCGGAUUUAUUGGGCGUAAAGAGCUCGUAGGCGGUUCGGUAAGUCGGGUGUGAAAACUUUGGGCUUAACCCAAAGCGUGCAUCCGAUACUGCUGUGACUUGAGUUCGGUAGGGGAGUGGGGAAUUCCUAGUGUAGCGGUGAAAUGCGCAGAUAUCAGGAAGAACACCCGUGGCGAAGGCGGCUCUCUGGGACGGUACUGACGCUGAGACGCGAAAGCGUGGGGAGCGAACAGG
This 254-nucleotide ribosomal RNA is filed under the name uncultured bacterium. RNAcentral's name for it is "partial 16S ribosomal RNA". It matches the Rfam family "Bacterial small subunit ribosomal RNA", at positions 524 to 776 of the family's 1533-position model. The record is from RNAcentral.